GUUUAUUUACGUGGCUGCAAACUUAUAAAAUGAAGUAGAAGGAAUAAUUUAAAACUAGAAAAUGCGAUUAACUUUCAUCUGUAUAAAAAAAAGUAGACGAAACUGCUUAACGACAUUUCUUUACUGCUCCGAACUUGUUUCUGCUCCAUUGGAUAUUAUUCUAACUCAUCUUCAUGCUCUUCAAUUACCGGAUAAUUAUUUUCCACUUAAUGUUUGAAUUAUUUGUUUACAUUUGUUGUUUUUCUUAUUUUUGCCCGUGAUUGAUCAUUUAGUGUAUACGGAAUAAAACGAUAUCAAUCUAGCGCAAGUUCUGAAACGUCAUUAGCAAUUUUCUUCAGGAUAAUAAUCCACUUAACCUCUUCUUUUCAUUUUUUAAAAAUUCGACGAUGUACGAUUAGCAUUUAAGAUUUUCCUUAUUGAUUAAUUGCAUAAUUAAUUACCGCAUAUAUUAACCCAACGAUUUAAUUAUACUUAUCAGUUUUUAACGUUUUGCGUACGAGUGUAAUUAACGUCAUAAAACAUCCCCCUUUUUUUAUUUAAAACGCGUUAAAAAUUCUUAUAUAUAUAUAUGUCAAAAGUGUGAGAAAGGAGAAAAACGUGAGCAAACGGGAAUUAUCGGUUAAUUAUAGGAGAAAAACAAUUUUCGGGCGAGUGCCUGAGAGCAUAAGAGGAAGACAAGAUAGAGAAGACAUUUGGGGCAAACUGCCAAAGGUGUGGCUAUCUUUCUGCAGUGCAGCUCUUCUCCCGCUCUUUUCUCUCCGCCAGGAGGCGCUAGCGAUGUGAGAGUAAGGUGUGAGUUGCAUGUGUCGCCACAGUAGAAAGUAGCAGACGAGCUGGCGUGUUACUCCUUUAACUAUGAACUACUCCAGCGGAGUCCCGGGAGGGGGCGGUGGAGGUAUAUCCGGAAGAGAUAGCAGAGGAUCAGGAAAAGGGGGCCAGAAGGGAGACAAAAAACGAACCUUUGGCGAUCAACUGGCCGUAAGUUAUUUUCGAACACUUGUCACAUGGUAUUGCGUCACUGGAAUCCCUUGGCUUGUUUAUACAUUUAUACUUUUGACCGACUUAUUUACUUUAAAGUUUCUCUCUUAAAAAUGUAUUCGAGUCAUUAAGUGAUACCUAAUAUUCUUUAUGUAACUAUUUUAAAAAUAUUUUUAACGUUUCUACUACUUUAAAAGUUUUUUCUUCUCUAUGUUUACUCUUUUUUUUAAUAAUACAAUAUUAUGUUUUAAAUAUAUAUAUGUGUAUACA
This 1248-nucleotide long non-coding RNA is filed under the name Androctonus crassicauda. Lineage: Eukaryota; Metazoa; Arthropoda; Arachnida; Scorpiones; Buthidae. The record is from RNAcentral.